AAAUAAAAAAAACAAAAAAAUCUUGCUUUUAAAAGGAUUCACAAAUUGGGAGUGCCACUCGUCGUCGAAUCGGAGGAAACAGUAUAUGUCGCACGAAGGAAGUCGGCAACAAGAAAAACCGGUCGACUCUAAUACGAUAACCAUUUCGUAUCUGUCAUUUUUCCAAGGCCGAUACCUGUUGAUCCCUUUUACGCGUUCCCUUUCCACCUACUACGUUUUAUCAAUUUCCACAACAAUCGAGCAAAGUUCUUUCUUAAGAAACAACGAUAAAACACUGCCAUGGCCGAUGAUUUCGAGAUUGUGCGUGCCACAUGAUUUAACCGAAAGAAUCACAAGUACACGCGAAUCCACUUAGAAGUUGACCACAGGAGACGUCUGAAACCAAUGGCAAAGUGGAUAGGCAGGUUUUCUAUCAGAGACUGUCGAUCGGAGAAAAACUUGUCGCGAUCGACGUUAACCCCUUGCACUUUUGUCCCUCUUUUGGUUUAACAUGUUAUAUCUUAACGCGAAUUAUACGUAUAUCGUCCAGCUUUUCUUCUCCUUUUCCCCCUUUGUCCGAUCGAUCGUGGUUAUUUCCAACUUUUCUUUCUAUUACCCGUUCAACGAAAAGACCAGAUAUUUCAACUACUCGGAACGUAAUACGUACAUCUUAGAAGGUUGGCUGUUCGGAUGAAGAUCACAUUGAUAGAAAGUCGGAUCGGGAUUAUUAUCCUCUCGCUUCUUGUUACUUGCAACAAUGUAAGGAACGGCGAAUAGAUAGAAUAGAUACAGGUAUACGCGGAAAAGCAGAUAACCACGAUGCGGAACAAGAUUGUUCUCAGAUUUACAGAGAUAAGAGAUUUCCGAUACGAGGUUUGCGAGUCGCUUUGGGGACUGAAUGAGUCUUGGAACUCGAGGGAAUUUGCGCUGCCUCCUAACUUUCCCAGAGUGAAAAAAAAAAAGAAAAUCGAGUUCAAAGGUGGAUUAAGAGGAAAAAGAGUAAGAAGCCACCGUCUGCCAUUGAACGAUCGAACCACGCUGCUGUAUCUCGUCUAGACUUUCAUGAUACGCCAACAGCACGAUGAAAUAAUAUUUAUUAUGAUUGUCAAGACAGGCGGAAGAAUAGAGUUUGCGGUUUAACAUAAUUGCUCCGUGCGUAUCACAAUAAUAUUAAUUAGUAACUUUUUAUAGGCAUCACGAUGCGUGGAAUCAAAUGUUUACAGGGACUACAGGUCACAGACUACAGAGUACAGAGGGAAUUCUUUCGCAUUGCAUAAUUACGUUGCAAUUAGAGUAGGUACAACCGCGCGUCGGCGGAGACAGGAAAAGGAAACGUCAAACCAAAGAUACCUACGUAGCCCUAAAGACUUUAUUUCGAAAGCGAUCAAACGUUUGGUACACAGCGCCAACUAUUGACGAUAGGAUAACGUAAGUACGAUUCAAUGAAUCUAUUGGAUUUUUCACGAUUUAACUAUCUCAAUUCAAAUAUUCCAUUACACCAGCUUCAAUAUUCCAACUCACUCACAACUUCUUUUUAUUCUUUGCGUCAAUUUUAACACGUUACCUAUGAUAAGUGAAAAAAGAGCAUGUGAACGAUGCGAUUUUAUACCUGAAUAUACACGAGUUCCCUUUUUUUAUUUUCGAUACAACAAUGCGUAAAUUUAACUAUUUUUCGAUACAUCUCGGAUAAAGUCGUACCACCGAAUUGUAGCUUCAACUUUGCA
Molecule: long non-coding RNA, 1703 nt
Organism: Bombus impatiens (common eastern bumble bee)
Lineage: Eukaryota; Metazoa; Arthropoda; Insecta; Hymenoptera; Apidae
Exons: 4
Source: RefSeq, a predicted model, not a curated record